Molecule: ribosomal RNA, 197 nt
Filed under: uncultured bacterium
Lineage: Bacteria
Description: partial 16S ribosomal RNA
Rfam family: Bacterial small subunit ribosomal RNA
Source: RNAcentral
ACGCUCGACACCUACGGAGGCAGCAGUGGGGAAUAUUGCACAAUGGGGGAAACCCUGAUGCAGCGACGCCGCGUGAGCGAAGAAGUAUUUCGGUAUGUAAAGCUCUAUCAGCAGGGAAGAAACUGACGGUACCUGACUAAGAAGCACCGGCUAAAUACGUGCCCGNAGCCGCGGUAAUCUGAGCGGGCUGGCAAGGC